CGGAAGGUCCGGGCGUUAUCCGGAUUUAGUUGGGUUUAAAGGGAGCGUAGGCCGGAGAUUAAGCGUGUUGUGAAAUGUAGAGGCUCAACCUCUGCACUGCAGCGCGAACUGGUCUUCUUGAGUACGCACAAACGUGGGCGGAAUUCGUGGUGUAGCGGUGAAAUGCUUAGAUAUCACGAAGAACUCCGAUUGCGAAGGCAGCUCACGGGAGCGCAACUGACGCUGAAGCUCGAAAGUGCGGGUAUCGA
Molecule: ribosomal RNA, 248 nt
Filed under: uncultured bacterium
Lineage: Bacteria
Description: partial 16S ribosomal RNA
Rfam family: Bacterial small subunit ribosomal RNA
Source: RNAcentral